ACCCGCUGAACUUAAGCAUAUCAAUAAGCGGAGGAAAAGAAACCAACAGGGAUUGCCCUAGUAACGGCGAGUGAAGCGGCAACAGCUCAAAUUUGAAAUCUGGCGCAAGCCCGAGUUGUAAUUUGUAGAGGAUGCUUCUGGGCAGCGGCCGGUCUAAGUUCCUUGGAACAGGACGUCACAGAGGGUGAGAAUCCCGUAUGUGAUCGGUUGGCACCCGCUACGUAGCUCCUUCGACGAGUCGAGUUGUUUGGGAAUGCAGCUCUAAAUGGGAGGUAAAUGCCUUCUAAAGCUAAAUACCGGCCAGAGACCGAUAGCGCACAAGUAGAGUGAUCGAAAGAUGAAAAGCACUUUGGAAAGAGAGUUAAAAAGCACGUGAAAUUGUUGAAAGGGAAGCGCAUGCAACCAGACUUGUCCGCGGUGUUCCGCCGGUCUUCUGACCGGUCUACUCGCCGCGGGCAGGCCAGCAUCAUCUGGGAGCGCCGGAUAAAGGUAGCGGGAAUGUGGCCCCUCGGGGUGUUAUAGCUCGCUACACAAUACGGCGCCUCCCGGGUGAGGUCCGCGCUUCGGCUAGGAUGCUGGCGUAAUGGUUGUAUGCGGCCCGUCUUGAAACACGGACCAAGGAGUCUACCAUCUAUGCGAGUGUUCGGGUGUCAAACCCCUACGCGCAAUGAAAGUGAACGGAGGUGGGAACCGCAAGGUGCACCAUCGACCGAUCCUGAUGUCUUCGGAUGGAUUUGAGUAAGAGCAUAGCUGGUGGGACCCGAAAGAUGGUGAACUAUGCCUGAAUAGGGUGAAGCCAGAGGAAACUCUGGUGGAGGCUCGCAGCGGUCCUGACGUGCAAAUCGAUCGUCAAAUUUGGGUAUAGGGGCGAAAGACUAAUCGAACCAUCUAGUAGCUGGUUCCUGCCGAAGUUUCCCUCAGG
This 922-nucleotide ribosomal RNA is filed under the name Neocatenulostroma microsporum. Its description in RNAcentral is "LSU rRNA". It matches the Rfam family "Eukaryotic large subunit ribosomal RNA", at positions 23 to 977 of the family's 3401-position model. Lineage: Eukaryota; Fungi; Ascomycota; Dothideomycetes; Mycosphaerellales; Teratosphaeriaceae. The record is from RNAcentral.